GCUGGGCAUGGUGGCAGGUGCCUGUAAUCCCAGCUACUUGGGAGGCUGAGGCAGGAGAAUCGCUUGAACCCAGGAGGCAUAGGUUGCAGUGAGCCGAGAUCAUACCACUGCAGUCCAGCCUGGGAGACAGAGCGAGACUCUGUCUCAA
Unclassified non-coding RNA from Macaca mulatta (Rhesus monkey), 148 nucleotides. It matches the Rfam family "Metazoan signal recognition particle RNA". Rfam says of the family: The signal recognition particle (SRP) is a universally conserved ribonucleoprotein. It is involved in the co-translational targeting of proteins to membranes. The eukaryotic SRP consists of a 300-nucleotide 7S RNA and six proteins: SRPs 72, 68, 54, 19, 14, and 9. Lineage: Eukaryota; Metazoa; Chordata; Mammalia; Primates; Cercopithecidae. The record is from Ensembl.